CGUUUGACCUCGGAUCAGGUAGGGAUACCCGCUGAACUUAAGCAUAUCAAUAAGCGGAGGAAAAGAAACCAACAGGGAUUGCCCUAGUAACGGCGAGUGAAGCGGCAACAGCUCAAAUUUGAAAUCUGGCUCUUUUAGAGUCCGAGUUGUAAUUUGCAGAGGGCGCUUUGGCUUUGGCAGCGGUCCAAGUUCCUUGGAACAGGACGUCACAGAGGGUGAGAAUCCCGUACGUGGUCGCUAGCUAUUGCCGUGUAAAGCCCCUUCGACGAGUCGAGUUGUUUGGGAAUGCAGCUCUAAAUGGGAGGUAAAUUUCUUCUAAAGCUAAAUAUUGGCCAGAGACCGAUAGCGCACAAGUAGAGUGAUCGAAAGAUGAAAAGCACUUUGGAAAGAGAGUCAAACAGCACGUGAAAUUGUUGAAAGGGAAGCGCUUACAGCCAGACUUGCUUGCAGUUGCUCAUCCGGGCUUUUGCCCGGUGCACUCUUCUGCAGGCAGGCCAGCAUCAGUUUGGGCGGUGGGAUAAAGGUCUCUGACACGUUCCUUCCUUCGGGUUGGCCAUAUAGGGGAGACGUCAUACCACCAGCCUGGACUGAGGUCCGCGCAUCUGCUAGGAUGCUGGCGUAAUGGCUGUAAGCGGCCCGUCUUGAAACACGGACCAAGGAGUCUAACAUCUAUGCGAGUGUUUGGGUGUCAAGCCCGAGCGCGUAAUGAAAGUGAACGGAGGUGGGAACCCGCAAGGGUGCACCAUCGACCGAUCCUGAAGUUUACGGAAGGAUUUGAGUAAGAGCAUGGCUGUUGGGACCCGAAAGAUGGUGAACUAUGCUUGAAUAGGGUGAAGCCAGAGGAAACUCUGGUGGAGGCUCGCAGCGGUUCUGACGUGCAAAUCGAUCGUCAAAUUUGGGCAUAGGGGCGAAAGACUAAAUCAAACUUAUCUAGUAACCUGGUUCCUGCCGAAGUUUCCCCUCAGGAUAACCAGUUAAC
Molecule: ribosomal RNA, 979 nt
Filed under: uncultured Ascomycota
Lineage: Eukaryota; Fungi; Ascomycota
Description: eukaryotic LSU rRNA
Rfam family: Eukaryotic large subunit ribosomal RNA
Source: RNAcentral